Nycticebus coucang (slow loris) is the source of this 2745-nucleotide long non-coding RNA. RefSeq lists it as uncharacterized. Lineage: Eukaryota; Metazoa; Chordata; Mammalia; Primates; Lorisidae. The record is from RefSeq and is a predicted model, not a curated record. The transcript is spliced from 3 exons.
CCCAAGCAGAAAGGCAGUAGGUUUGGCCGGAAGUGACGUAGCUGGGAGAGUGGGCGGAGGAGCUGCGGUGAGACCGUCGGCGCGGAAUUGGUGGCGCUAGGCGUGCGGCUGGGCGCGAGGUAGUACAGGUCUGGCAGCCAUUCUUCGUCACAGAAAAUGUCUACCAAAUUAGGAGCACCUGUCUUUGCCUUCCAGCACCCAGAAGCUCAAGGAUUUGAAGGCAUAAGUUACCCUGAAAGGCGGCCACUGCAGAAGGUGCCUCAUCAAAACAAGGGAACAAUUUAAGAAGGCAUGAGAUUCUGAAACCAUAAGAUGUCACAAUGGAAAGCAGUGAAGGACAGUCGUUAAGUGUCUACUGUGUCAAGUAAGUAGUAUAGUGCUUCCAGGAAUUUGAUCUGUAGGGAAACAUGGAACAAAGUUUGACUACUAUGGAAAACGAAGAAAGAAGCAAGACCAAUUUUGUAACUGUAGGGAAAAAGAGAAGUAGUAUAAGCACAUAGGAAACUAACUUAAUGGUAAAAUGAGAAUAAAAUUCCCCCACAUAAGCAUUUUGAAUAUGUGCACUCUCUCAAGAAUAAAUCUGCGGCCAGGUGCGGUGACUCAUGCCUGUAAUACUGGUACUCCAGGAGACUGAGAUGGGCAGAUCUCUUACAAGUUCGAGACCAGCCUGAGCAAGAGUGAGACCCUUGUCUCUAAAAAUAGCUCAGCAUUGUGGCAGGCGCCUGUAGUCCCAGCUACUCAGGAGGCUGAGGCAAGAGGAUUACUUGAGCCCAGGAAUUUGAAGUUGCUGUGAGCUAUGAUACCACAGCACUCUACCCAGGGUGACAGAGGGAGACUCAAAAAAAAGAAUAAAUCUGAAAUUUUAUUUCUUAAAAAGUAAUUAUGUUACAAUUUAGUAAUCAGAUGUUAGAAAUUUGACAUUAAAAAUAUAGUAAAAUUAUAUUGUCAGUUUUAAGAUUGGUCCUUCGGGCAUCAUACUCCAAUUGCCAUAGAUGCUCACCUUUAUUAAGAUGUGCUCUGAAGAAGAUAUUUGCAGGAAAAAAGAAAGUUUUUCAAUUUAUUUUGUAAAAGGAACUUUGUCCUUUGCUUAGGCGAAUUGCAAUAAUUUUUUAUUUACAGAAAUGAUGCAUAGUCUGUAACAGGAAUUUCAACAAGUUUUUUGUUUACAUUUGUGGAAUUAAAGGUUGAGUAUCCCUAUCCAAAAAUUUGAAAUUUAAAAUGCUCCAAAAUCCAAAACUUUUUGAGCACAGACAUGUGCCACAAGUGGAACAUUCCACAACUGACCUCAUGUAAUAGGUUGUAGUCAAGACACAGAUGCACGGCACACAGUUUAUUAAAAAUAGUUUAUUUGGCUAUGCAUAUAAAGUGUAUGUGAAACAAAUGAAUUCUGUAUUUAGACGUAGGUCCCAUCCCCCCAAUAGCUCAUUAUGUAUGUGCAGAUAUGCCAAAAUCUGGAAAAAUUCAAAAUCCAAAACACUUCCUGGUCUCAGUCUUUUUAAGAUAAGGAAUACUCAGCUCGGUGCCUGUAGCUCAGCGGCUAGGGCACUGGCCACAUUCACUGGGGCUGGUGGGUUUGAACCCAACCCGGGCCUACCAAACAAUGACAACUACAACAAAGCCUGUAGUACCAGCUACUUGGGAGGCUGAGGCAAGAGAAUCACUUAAGCCUAAGAGUUUGAGGUUGCUGUGAGCUGUGAUGCUAUAGCACUCUACUGAGGGCAACGUAGUGAGACUCUAUCUCAAAAAAAAGAUAUGGGAUACUCAACUUGUAUCUAUUUUUUUUUUAAUAGAUACAAGUUUGAAAUUUCAUAUUACUUUUCAUCUUCCAUACUGUUUUUGCUGUCAAGAUUUGGUUUCAUCCAGUGGUUGAUCCAUAAUAUAUUCCUACAUAAUAUUUUAGAUUUCUUUUCUAUAACUUAUGGUUGAGAGUUUUUUCUAUGCUUUACUUGUAUAUAUAAUCUCAGAUAAAUUUUGAUUUAAUUACAAGUGAUUUGUGGGCUAUUAUGUUGCCUUUCUGUCGUAUGUAUUAAGUAAGUAAUGUCAGGCCAAUUUGUCUACCUCCUUUUUUCUAAGUGAUAACAUAUACACAGUAAAAUAUAUAACAUGCAGUAAUUGUCAGUGUACUUGUUUUUUGAGACAGCCUUAUUCUGUCACCCUAGAUAAAUUGCCAUGGCCUCAUAGCUCACAGCAACCUCAGACUCUUGAGUUUGAUCAAUCCUCUUGCCUCAGCCUCUGGAGUAGCCAGGACUGUGUGCCACUGUGCCCAGAUAUUUUUUUCCAUUUUUUAGUAGAGAUGGAGUCUCACUCUUGCUUAGUCUGCUCUGGAACUCCCGAGCUCAAGCAGUCCACCUGACUCAGCCUCCCAGAGUGCUAGGAUUACAAGUAUGAGCCAGGGCAACUGGCUUUGUAAAUAUACUUCUUGAUGAUCUUUUACAUAUGUUUACAUUCAUAUCAAGGUCAUAUUAAGAUAUAUACAUUCAGAUCAAAGUACUAAAAAUUUCUGAUUGCCUAGUCCUUUCAUCACAGUUUAUACCUCCUCCAGAAAUAACUACUGUUUUAUAAAGAUCAGUUAAGUUUUGCAUGUUCUCAAACUUCAUGUAAAUGGGAUGAUACAGUGUGUAUUGUUUUAUGCUUGAUUCUUUCAUCAUAGUACUUUUUUUUUUAUUGCUGUAAACUAUUCCAUCAUAUGAGUAUACCUUAAUUCAUUUAUUCUUUCACCUGUUGACAUCUGAGUUCUUUCCAACU